This 638-nucleotide ribosomal RNA is filed under the name uncultured Basidiomycota. RNAcentral describes it as "LSU rRNA". It matches the Rfam family "Eukaryotic large subunit ribosomal RNA", at positions 1 to 610 of the family's 3401-position model. Lineage: Eukaryota; Fungi; Basidiomycota. The record is from RNAcentral.
CCUCAAAUCAGGUAGGACUACCCGCUGAACUUAAGCAUAUCAAUAAGCGGAGGAAAAGAAACUAACAAGGAUUCCCCUAGUAACUGCGAGUGAAGCGGGAAAAGCUCAAAUUUAAAAUCUGGUGGUCUCCGGCCGUCCGAGUUGUAAUCUAGAGAAGUGUUACCCGCGUCGGACCGUGUACAAGUCUCCUGGAAUGGAGCGUCAUAGAGGGUGAGAAUCCCGUCUUUGACACGGACCCCCGAGGCUUUGUGGUGCGCUCUCAAAGAGUCGAGUUGUUUGGGAAUGCAGCUCAAAAUGGGUGGUAAAUUCUAUCUAAAGCUAAAUAUUGGCGAGAGACCGAUAGCGAACAAGUACCGUGAGGGAAAGAUGAAAAGAACUUUGGAAAGAGAGUUAAACAGUACGUGAAAUUGCUGAAAGGGAAACGCUUGAAGUCAGUCGCGUCGGCCGGAAAUCAGCCUUGCUCUUGCUUGGUGUACUUUCUGGUUGACGGGCCAGCAUCAGUUUUGACCGGUGGAUAAAGUUGUGAGGAAUGUGGCAUCUUCGGGUGUGUUAUAAGCCUCGCUUCGUAUACAUCGGUUGGGGACUGGGAGGAACCCGACAGCGCGCCGAGAGAGGCGCGGGGUUGCGACCCGCAUUGC